UAACAAGUCCUUGGUUCAUUGC
RNAcentral lists this non-coding RNA (22 nucleotides) under Arabidopsis thaliana (thale cress). Lineage: Eukaryota; Viridiplantae; Streptophyta; Magnoliopsida; Brassicales; Brassicaceae. The record is from RNAcentral.